CAUUGUUCUCAGGGCGGGGCGAAAUUCCCCACCGGCGGUAAGGCAGCAAUGCCAAGCCCGCGAGCGCCUUUGGACCGUUUGGUCCCUGGGGUCAGCAGAUCCGGUGUGACUCCGGAGCCGACGGUAUAGUCCGGAUGAAAGAGAACGGGA
This 150-nucleotide non-coding RNA is filed under the name Pelagibacterium sp. RNAcentral describes it as "FMN sequence". It matches the Rfam family "FMN riboswitch aptamer (RFN element)". From Rfam's summary of the family: The RFN element is a highly conserved domain that is found frequently in the 5'-untranslated regions of prokaryotic mRNAs that encode for flavin mononucleotide (FMN) biosynthesis and transport proteins. This element is a metabolite-dependent riboswitch that directly binds FMN in the absence of proteins. In Bacillus subtilis, the riboswitch most likely controls gene expression by causing premature transcription termination within the 5' untranslated region of the ribDEAHT operon and precluding access to the ribosome-binding site of ypaA mRNA. Lineage: Bacteria; Pseudomonadati; Pseudomonadota; Alphaproteobacteria; Hyphomicrobiales; Devosiaceae. The record is from RNAcentral.